CUUUAUAUAUUCUUUCGGGAGGGAGGCCGGCCCCAGUGGCCAGGCACUAUUAGCAUAUCCCACCGCAACCCCCGCGGGGGCUGUCUGGACAAACCUCCGCCUUUCCUCUACAGACAAUCUGCUGUGUACUGCCCCUUUUGACGCUAAUGGUUUUACUGUAUUUCUGCUGGGGCGGCAGUGGGUCCCCAACCUGCUCAUUUGCACUCUCUAGAUAGGCUAAAACAAGGGAUCACUUAAGGAGUGUUUCACACAAAAGUGACCAAGGCAGUCCAACUUUUUGCAAUUGGACACACAUUUUAAAAUAGUGGUAAUAAAUAGAAAUCCCUUUCAGCUGGCACCAAGAGCCGACCUGCCCUCCCAAUCCUGGGCGUGAGGAAUCACCUGAUUUGGGGGUGUUUGUUUCUCUUUUUCAUGAACUUCAAUUAUCUCGAAAACUUUUUCCAGCAAUUGGAUUGAAUAACGGUUACUAAAAACUUGAAGUGGCAUUUUCAAUCUUGGAGUGAAUACAGGGUUUGCCUUUCCAAAUCUAUUUUGUAUAGCUUCAGAUGAGUAAAGUUUUGCUCAGAUUGUCAUUUAUUCUAGGCUCUACCUUAUUGAGAGUAGGGAGGGAGGUUCCUUUUCCCAUGACUGGGCUUGCUCUGAGUUCUCCCUGUAUGUCUGCUCAUCUAAAAGGAGGUGGGGCACAGGAGGGCCAGGUGACCAGGAACAUUCCUCCCGUUCUUGCUUCCUUCAUUUUCCCCUUCUGUACGUAUUUGUUGAGCACCUUCUCCUUUGUGCCAGGCCUUCCCUAGAUCCUGAGCAGGCCAAAGACCUGCACUGAAAGUGUCUCUAAGAUUUCCAACAGAAGAAGCCCAGUUUUCGACGGCAAACUCCCUUUCCAGGGAAUUAUUUUCUUAAAGCAACACUGGUUCAUUGAUCCAGCAUCUUCAGGGGCCAGAGAAGUAGCAACCUUUUCAGGGUGCGAUCUCUCUAAAGUGAAGACCUUGAAAACCAGAGGUGGGAGAGUGACACUGUCAGUCACUAAGGUUUGCUAGCCACACCAUUGCUGUCUCCUCUCUUCUGUCCUGUCAUCUCUAAGAAAAAGAUCUCUCCUGAAAAUCAGGUUCCCUCUCACACCAAUGGGCUGCUUAAUCAUCUGACCAGUGGGAAAUCCAUCUGCACCUUUUUUAGGGCUAUUAACAAGUCUAUGCCUUUGAAAUGAAUACGGUAUCCAGGGCUACGCCAGAUAAAAAGAGGCAAGUUCAAGAAGAACCCAGGUGGAAACUAAGAUGCCAUCCACGCUGGUGGAAACAUUCAAAUGCACAGCAAAUGCAAAGCACAUUGCUACCUCUGAAAUACAAUAGUGGGUAGAUAUCCUCCCCCAGGAAUUCUCAGCCAAGUCCCACAGUUUCUAUUAGCAGCCAUAUGACCACUUUUUUAUUUUUUUGGCUGUGGAGUCCACAAAUUAGCUCGGACUUGUGCUUUGGACACAAAUAAACUUGGUCUUUAAAGUUUGAGUGAAAGUUAGAGGUUACGCUUCUGCUCAUCUUUCAGCUAAUUUCUGAAAGCACUUAACGUGAUUUGUACUCAAGCCCCUCAGCGCGAAAUAUUUUUAACUAACAAUUAUUGAGAAUUUUCUAUUUGCCCCGCACUGUUCUCAACCCUUUCCUUAGAUUAACUUAACAAUUAAUACUCCAAACCACCCUGUGGGAGCUAUUAUUGGGCCCAUUGUAGAAAGAAAGUAAACUCGAGCUCCAGGGACUAGGUUAUUUGCCCCAAGGUCAUACAGGAUUGGAAACUAGGCAUCCUGUCAUUAUAGUUCCUACUCCUAGAGGUGAUUUUGUUUGUUUUCUUCUUCAAUUAAUUUAGGCUCCGUGCGCUUCCUUAGGGCUCCAGAGCAGAAACUCGCAAAAGCUGGCUACUCAACAUCUUUCCCUGGCUCCUGUGCCUGGGAAGACGCCGUCACUCAGGAGCCUCUGUCAGUAAGGGUAGUUCUCAGAGGUUAGAGCUGUCUCUGGUAAGGUGAUCUCAAAACAAAGUUACCAGAGUGCCGCGAGCGAGUGGAACUAAAGAAGCCGAGAAAACACAAGCGCCCGGCGGCUUAAUGGGACUUGCUAGCAGGAGAACAGGGUCCGGACUUGAGAGCCCUUGGGACGCAAGUGCUGAAAAUAGGAUCUCAGAGUACCAAAGUAAAAAGAAAUAAGACAAAACUUUUAAAACGCUGUCAGGGGCGAGAGAAGAAAGAGAGAGAGAGAGAGAGAGAAAAAAAAAAGGCAAUAUGCUAAGACAGUAGGCAGCCAGCACCACAAAGAUGGCUACAGUGUCCCAAUUCAGGAGCGGUCUCCCUGCUCUUUUCCCAGGGGAGACCUGGAAGGGGAAAAAGAAAGAACUGGGUGAGCAACAUAGAGAAAAGCAUUUUUUUUUUUUGAGUGGGUUGGCCAGGGAAGCAUGGGAAAAGUUUUAAAAAUGGCUCUGAAAAGAUCUACUCAGGGCACCCUUUUGUACUCAAAGUCGGAUUAGAUUGGCUUUUGCUCCUCACACAAAGAAUGAAAAUAAGUUUUCCACUAUUUCUGCAAAGAAGUGGAUUUCUUGCUUGCGGAGAAAACGCACAUUUAUUUCAUAUGUAAACAGGUUAUUAGAAAUGACACUCCAACACUGUCUGCUAGGAAAGUCUAACCAUAGGUAGUUGAGGGGAAGAAAACCCAGUCACCUCUGGUGCUAUAAAUGGAUACCCACUAAGGCUCUGGUGAAGUAUUUAUUUAUUUAUUUAUUUCAUUUUAUAUUCUGAAAAAAUAAAUACAUUUGAUUUUCUUACAAUUUAGAAUUAUAACCAGGUUCUAACUGCAAUGACCUUUACGUAACAUCAACUUUUUUUUUAAGUGAAAUCUGUGUUAGUUUAAGCAUUAUGGCAACACACUAAUAUUGAUGGACAGAUCACACCAGCAAAAUGAUGCUCAUACCUUCUUCUUCUAAUAAAUUUUGCCCACCCUAGGCUUUCUGCAUUAUUGAAAAUUCUCUAUGCUUUUCUUGGAGGGAGAAACCAAAUACAUAUAGAAGGAUACAUACAUUCCAAUUCACUUCUGCCCCUGCCUGCAGAUCCUUAUCAACUCCUGGACUAAGGGAGUUGUUCUUGAUAUUUUUUAUAUUAUAGAUGACUUCACAAUGUGCUCAACAAUUGCAAAUUGCUAUUAGCUCUGGGAAUCAGGCACACCUAAGUAAACACAUUAGUACCUGCCAGAGCUGCUGGAAGAAUUUGUGAAGACAGCUGAGGAAGACAUUGGCCUCUGCUUGAAUUAGAGGACUUCCAGGAGAGAUCAAAGGCCUAAGUAAGGACAUUUAGCAGCCUUGAGAGUACAGAAAGUAGCCAGUUCUUACAGCAUUAUCUUUGUUCCAGCACAUGGCAUAGCCAUUCCAUCUCAGACUGACUCUGAACUAGGCUUGCAAAAAAAUUGCUUUUUUCAGAGUGAAACCUCUAUGAUGGAGGAUCAUCUUUUAUAAGUGUAAUAGUUUAAGGGAGUGACUGGAGGGGCCUGUCAGAGAAAUAGCUUGGUGGUUUGGCUCUUUGAGAAAAUACUAUGUUAUUGAUAAUUUAUCAAUGCAUUGGAUUAGGCAAUUAGAUAUUCAAAGCUUAAAAAAAAUGUCAAAAAAAAUUCCAGCUAUGGUGUUGUGGGAGAGCGAUUUUGAAACGACAAAAUGGGAUAAAAUAUUACUAGAAGAAAAACACAACUGGGUAAAUUCUAACUUUAGUAAAAAAAAAAAAAGUCUUAAUAAGGAUAGAGAUCACUUUCAGCAUCUCAAGAUUUCUCUGCUAGUUUCAGAAAUAGUUGCAAACCCUAAAUUCCAGCAUUCCCUCCACUCCCAAAACAAAUGCAAGAGUUUGAGGAAAAAUAAAUGAGACUGUUAGACCUAAGAGGAUUUCCAGUGUUCAGGCUUGGAAUUCAGUGAUCCAGGUAUUAAAAUUAGUAUGAAAGCUGGCAUUUGAUUUUCUGCAAAUUAUUUCUGUAGUAAUAUAAUAAAGAAAAUCACUCAUUAUUUUGUACUUGAUAACUUUAUACCUGCCUCUGGAAAGAGGCUUGAAUUUAAUCCCAAAUUGCUUAUCUUUACCAAGUUAUUAUGUCUUGAUUAUCUGCUUCCACAGCCCUGUUUAUUUUGGCUUUGGCCUCAGUAAAGAUUAUCAUCAUUAAUAUCAAACAAAAACAUUUUAAUUGCAAACACACCAAGGAUUUCACUGGAAAGCCUAACAUGUCAUCUGUAGCAGUGGAGGUCACAUGAAGUCUUUGGGAAAUAUUUGCUCUAUUUAAUGAAGAGACUUCUAUAGGCAAACUUAUUCCAAACAAUUUCUCAAGUUACCCAGCUAAGAGAGAUAGAGAGGAUUUGGCUUGCAAAGACUGAAUAAAAUCCAUCAACAAGUAAAGUCCACGAAUUAAUAAAAGCAUUCUGCUGUUGAGCCAUUUAUAACACAGAUCUUACUAUAAGUAUAGGCUAAAUUAUAAAUUAAAUGAGUUCACCUAAUCAGUUACAUUAUUUUGUGUUGCAUAAUAAAUUUGAAUUUUAAAAAUAGAAGUGUGCAUAUAUACAAUUUGGGGAAAAUCCCUAUUGAUUCUCAGGGAGAAAAUGAUGGGCAUCUAAUAAGCAUAAUUAAUGGGCAUAGACACUACCCAGACAUAUUCACACAUGUUUUGGUUGGAUAAUUUGAAAUGCUUUACCACUUAUUUUUUUAAGUUACUGCUCUAAUUUGGAGUUCGGUAGCUAGCCACUCUUGAGAGAGAGCUUUUAGAAAACAAACGCCAAGGAGAGCCAAAUUUUUCCCCAGACCAUAAAAUGUUGCUUAUUAAUUUCCCAAGGCAAGCUGGGCUCAGUGGUAUGGGCCUGUAGUCCCAGCUACCUGAAAGGCUGAGGCUGGAGGAUCACUUGAAUCCAGGAGUUCAAGCCUGGGCAACAGGGACACAUCACCCCUUAAAAAGAAAAAAAAAAGGAGGAAAGAAAGAAAUUAACAAUGUGCCAAGGCAUCUGUUUCACAGAGCAUGAUGGUUAAGAACACAGGCUUGAAUCCACUGAUAAUUGCCUGGCUCUGAAUCCUGGCUCUAUGCAGUACUUAACCAAGUGCAGGAAACUCUGUUCCAAGGAUCUUCGCAGUACCUCUCUCAUCUGUUGUAGGAUUAUGAGUUAAUAUUUAAAUACUAAGAAUGGCUCAUUUAUGUUGCUUUUGUUCUCAUUGUUGUCAAUAUUUUCCCCAGCCAGAGCAAGGAAAGGCUGAAGAAACUAUGGCUUUUGAUGGAAGAAAAGGGUCUUUGAAUUGACUAAUGAAGAAGAGAGCUGGCAUCUAGUGUUUAUUUUGUGCCAUUUUGGCUAAGCACUUCACAUGUGUUAUCUCAGUGAAUCUUCACAACCUCAGGAGGAAACAGGACUAAGAAUGAGCAGUGACUAGCCCUAGACAGUGGCAGCCUGGAUUCCAUCUAGGUAGCCAACCCCACACAGGCUCAGCUAAAUCUCCCACCUACCUCUCCCAAACCUUUAAAAGAGAUUGUAUGUCAAUGUCAGCUUCCACUAUGAACCUUUCUGCCUUUUAAAUUUGUUUCAGAAGAAAUCUGAAUUUCCCAUAUACUCAGAAAACGCAGUGACUACUAUCGCCAGGAAGAGGCUUUCCUUUCUGAGAGGAAAAAGGGGCAAGAUACAGCUCUGUACCUCCAGGGGGCACUGUCUGUGGUGCUAUCUGGAACUUAGGUGCGCAACAAGAAAGUACAGCCUUUGGAGGGUUAGGAAGGAAAGGGUGGGCUGGGAAAUACUGAAUCCGAUUUGAUUUUCACGUCUGCUAACUGAAGACUAGCUGUUGGGGAGGAGGAGGAAAGGUAGAAGUUCAGGGGUGGGGGAAGGGAGUGAAGGUGCCACUUACAGAAUCUAAGAGAGGAGUCGCAAUUCAAAAGAAAUGGCUUCCUCCUCUCAUCUGCCUCACUUCCCACUGUGUUUCUUGGUGGUCGUUUCUUCCUGAGGUUACAGGAUAAACAAACCUGGCACACGUUGUAAAAUCCGCAUGGUGAGGAGCUCCUGGGGCUUCUAGCCUCUUUGGGGCUUUGCUGUUUGGCUCGGCUAAGAGGUUGCAUGUGUGUUGUUGUUGUCUUUUGCCCUCAACCAUUGAAACCUUCCCUCACUUGAAGCCGCCCUCCCUUCAAAGCAGCCCACCCCACCUCCAGAGACAGAUUGCCCAUUUCUUUUAUCUUUCGUAUAUGGAAAACAAACCCAAGCCAAACGAGGCCUUGAGGAUAUUCCAGUCUGCUAGGGACCAGUCUAGUUCAAGAAAACUGGGGAGGGGGCCCGAGAUCCGGCCCUGAGGAUGCCGGAUGCAGCCCCGGGAACUCCAGAUCCACACUUCAGGACAAGAGCGGCCUGGGAAGGCUAAGAGGGAAGGCCGUUUGUGGGUAAAUCCGCUGAAGAUCUUUUUGGGAAAUGAGCACAGUUUUGGUGUGGUAAUUUCUUGCAACCAUAUUUUCCUAGAUUGAAAAUUCCAUUGUUAACUUUGGGUAAGUAAAUCUCACCCAGAUCUCCAGGUAUAGGAGUGUAAAACCAGACGGAAAAAGAUGCUGAUAAAAGGAAAAAUGACAUUUUUCUUCUGGGCACUAUUCACUUCCAAUGACAAGUGUGAGGUCUACGAGAGAGAGAACAGUAUCCAGUUUAAUUCAGACUAAGGAAAGCCAAAUUUCCUUUCAAUUGGCAUGUAAGGAAACACCCAAAUAAAUGGGCUUGUGUGGUGUCUAAAUUAAAAUAUGGCUCCUCUUUAUUUUUGUACACAUGCCUCCAAACAUAUUUUUCCAGUUCCAUCAAAUUAGGACCAACUUUGUUCAUAUAGAAACUUCUUUUUAAUAUUACAAUACCAGGAUCCUCGCACAUUUUAUAUACAUCAUUCCA
Molecule: long non-coding RNA, 6882 nt
Filed under: Homo sapiens (human)
Lineage: Eukaryota; Metazoa; Chordata; Mammalia; Primates; Hominidae
Description: HSALNT0192060
Source: RNAcentral